This 460-nucleotide ribosomal RNA is filed under the name uncultured bacterium. RNAcentral's name for it is "partial 16S ribosomal RNA". It matches the Rfam family "Bacterial small subunit ribosomal RNA", at positions 338 to 795 of the family's 1533-position model. The record is from RNAcentral.
CCUACGGGAGGCAGCAGUGAGGAAUAUUGGUCAAUGGACGAGAGUCUGAACCAGCCAAGUAGCGUGAAGGAUGACUGCCCUAUGGGUUGUAAACUUCUUUUAUAUGGGAAUAAAACGUUCCACGUGUGGGAUUUUGUAUGUACCAUAUGAAUAAGGAUCGGCUAACUCCGUGCCAGCAGCCGCGGUAAUACGGAGGAUCCGAGCGUUAUCCGGAUUUAUUGGGUUUAAAGGGAGCGUAGGGGGAUUGUUAAGUCAGUUGUGAAAGUUUGCGGCUCAACCGUAAAAUUGCAGUUGAAACUGGCAGUCUUGAGUACAGUAGAGGUGGGCGGAAUUCGUGGUGUAGCGGUGAAAUGCUUAGAUAUCACAAAGAACUCCGAUUGCGAAGGCAGUUCACUGGACUGCAACUGACACUGAGGCUCGAAAGUGUGGGUAUCAAACAGGAUUAGAUACCCCAGUAGUC